Molecule: long non-coding RNA, 1586 nt
Filed under: Ricinus communis (castor bean)
Lineage: Eukaryota; Viridiplantae; Streptophyta; Magnoliopsida; Malpighiales; Euphorbiaceae
Description: long non-coding RNA (RCOM_LNC002765)
Source: RNAcentral
AUUAAAUACUUCUAGUGAUCCACGAGGAUCUCUGGGCAAUGGAGUUAUUACAGGUGGUGAUUGCUUAUUGGAUGAGGAUGACCUGCCAGUAGGUUCCAUAUCACUGCAAAAAAUAUGUACAUAAAAAUACAGAACAAAAUUGUAAGAAUUCAUGAAUUUUAUAUAAAUAUUUUAGGACGGCUCAAUAACUUAUCUUAUUACUAAUACUUCACUCGUAUUUCUAUUUUGAAAAUAUUUAAUUAAUUAUUACAAUACUAUUUAUGUAAUGAUUUAUUACACUGAUAUUAUUUGUAAAUUAAUUCUAAAAUUGAAAUGUAAUUGGUGAAAUAUAUAUUAGACAUAAGAAGAACUAUAUAUCUAUGCAUAGGAUGUGAUUAAAUUUAUAGAGGGAAAAGAAUAAAAAACUGCAUGGCCUGUAGAAAGAAGAUUACAUGUGUAGGGAAAUGUCUGGUGGCAGGGAGUGAAAUGCAGUCUAGAUUAAGCUGGCUAGACUAGACAGAACAAACAUUAAAAGUUUCACUUUCAGUAUACAGGGUGGGGCAAUGAUAUGAACUGGAGUUUGGGACAUGGAAUGGAAAGGGUGAUAUUUUGAAAAUAAAAUAUGUGGUGAGGAAGAAAUAUACAAGUCAAUGGAUGGAUUUAUUAUUAUGGAAAAAAGAAGAAAGUGUGUAAAGUUUGUUUGAAGAAGUACCAUAGACAAUUUUAGGGUAGUUUGGUCCAUGGAACUUGGAAAACAAACACUUCAAAAGAAGAAAGAAAGAAAGAAAAUUUAACCAAAACAAGAAAAUUAGAAAGUGCUCUGUAAUUAAUUUAGACUUAUACAAUGAUAGGUAGUUAGCUAAUUAAUUAAAGCUGCUCUCAAUUCUGCCUAUGAGAGUGAGUGAUAAUGAUAACAGCACAGCAUAUAACAAAAAAAAAGAACAACUCAUCAGCUUCUGCAAAAUAUAGGAGUAAACUUAGAACCUAGAAAAUUACACUCAAGAGAAGAAAAGAAAAUUAGGUAUAUACACAACAAACCCAUAUCUUGAAUAUGUUCGCUAAACUAAUCUAUUGUAUUCAGAAAAAUAAGAAUGGAUGGAUAAAGGUAGCUAGCUAGCAGAACCCAAAAAAAGAAUGCAAGAUUCUGAAUCUUUAAGUUGAUCAAGAAUUCUUAUUAGGUAACAAACAGAUACCUGAAAGCUCUUGGACUGGAAACUGACAAGUGAAAAGUGAUAAAACAAACUUGUAUCGUGUUGUCCGAACAGUAGGAGAUAAAAGAGAAGAGAAAAAGAUUUAUAAGGAACAGAAAGUGGUUUGUGAUUGAUUGCAGGAAAGACUAAAAACAGAAAGAAAGAAUGAUUGGCGAGCUCCCAUCCCUCUACACCUAAUACCUCACAUGGCUUCACCUCUUAUUCUCGAAUCCCAAUGCCAUGAAUGAUAAAGAGAGAGUAUAUAUAGUACAAAGGAGUGGGAAAUGGGUGUGGGCUGUUGGCAAACAAGAAAAAGCAACAAAAACACUGAAGAAGAAGCAAAGAAAGAGAGGUAUAAGAAGAAAAUAUAUGUUGGAUUUUGAAGAGGUGUGUAGUAUUUAUGUAUAUAUAUCUUAC